CCGCCACCGUUCGGCCUCCUGGGCGGCCGGGCGCCGCCAGGGCCCAAGAUUCAAGGUCCCUCUGGGGCAUGGAGCCCCCGGUGCACCCGAUUCCUCCAAAAAGGACAAGACACUCCCUGCAGGAGUGCCCCCCGCUGAGGAAGAGCCCCCUCGGGCACCUCUCGGCCUCCGUACCUGACCAGAGCUGCCUCCCCCGGCCGCCACCACGGCGCUGCCGGCCCCGUCCGCCUCCUGCGCCGCCGCCAUCUUCCUGCUCCGGGUCCCCGCCCCCGCCGCCAGCCCCGCCCCGUCCCCGACGGCGCCAGGGCGAUCGCGCGAGAUUUCACACUUGGCCCGGCCCACCAGGCUUCCGUAGCAGAAGGGAGCGCCCCUAAGCCACGCCCUUUACAAGAACCGACUCGGCCGCGGUAAAGGGAAAGGUCUUGAAAUGAAGCCCUGACUGUGGCAGACAUAGAACUUGCGGCAUCUUCCGGCCUCAUCCUCAGGAGUGCUAUCUAUUCUAGGAUAGUGCUAUCCUGUCCUCUAUCCUAGGAGGAUGCUUAUGUCCCAGCACAUUAAACAAAUGAGAAACCAGAUCUUUUGGAUCCAGACUCCAUCUUAGAGAACCUGACCUAAGGUUGAACUCAAGUAAACUAACAGGCCAGUACCUAGCAUCAGUUUCUAGGCUACACCGAAACAAGAGUUUGAAUAAAAGUGUGAUUGCUUUGAA
Molecule: long non-coding RNA, 709 nt
Organism: Mastomys coucha (southern multimammate mouse)
Lineage: Eukaryota; Metazoa; Chordata; Mammalia; Rodentia; Muridae
Exons: 2
Source: RefSeq, a predicted model, not a curated record